Molecule: ribosomal RNA, 395 nt
Filed under: uncultured bacterium
Lineage: Bacteria
Description: partial 16S ribosomal RNA
Rfam family: Bacterial small subunit ribosomal RNA
Source: RNAcentral
CCUACGGGUGGCAGCAGUGAGGAAUAUUGGUCAAUGGCCGAAAGGCUGAACCAGCCAAGUCGCGUGAGGGAAGAAUGACCUAUGGUUUGUAAACCUCUUUUAUCGGGGAGUAAAGUUAUCCACGUGUGGAUGUUUGCGUGUACCCUAUGAAUAAGCAUCGGCUAACUCCGUGCCAGCAGCCGCGGUAAUACGGAGGAUGCGAGCGUUAUCCGGAUUUAUUGGGUUUAAAGGGUGCGUAGGUGGGUUUUUAAGUCAGCGGUGAAAGUUGGUGGCUCAACCAUAACCUAGCCGUUGAAACUGGUGAACUUGAGUGUGCGUGAGGUAGGCGGAAUGCGUGGUGUAGCGGUGAAAUGCAUAGAUAUCACGCAGAACUCCGAUUGCGAAGGCAGCUUACU